Molecule: ribosomal RNA, 253 nt
Filed under: uncultured bacterium
Lineage: Bacteria
Description: partial 16S ribosomal RNA
Rfam family: Bacterial small subunit ribosomal RNA
Source: RNAcentral
UACGGGGGGGGCAAGCGUUGUUCGGAAUUACUGGGCGUAAAGGGUUCGUAGGUGGCUUGUUAAGUCAGACGUGAAAUCCCUCGGCUCAACCGGGGAACUGCGUCUGAGACUGAUGAGCUCGAGUGCAGGAGAGGAACGCGGGAUUCCAGGUGUAGCGGUGAAAUGCGUAGAUAUCUGGAGGAACACCGGUGGCGAAGGCGGCGUUCUGGACUGCAACUGACACUGAGGAACGAAAGCCAGGGGAGCAAACGGG